GACGAACGCUGGCGGCGUGCUUGAUACAUGCAAGUCAAGGAGAACAUUAUCUUCGGAUAAUAAGUAAACUGGCGAACGGGUGAGUAACGCGUAAACAACUUGCCUCAGAGAUUGGGACAACAUUGGGAAACCAGUGCUAAUACCAAAUAAUGCAGCGGGCUCUUCGGAGCACAGUUGUUAAAGUAGGCUUCGGCUUACACUUUGAGAUAGGUUUGCGUCCGAUUAGUUAGUUGGUAGGGUAAAAGCCUACCAAGACCAAGAUCGGUAGCUGGUCUGAGAGGAUGAUCAGCCACACUGGAAUUGAGAUACGGUCCAGACUCCUACGGGAGGCAGCAGUAAGGAAUUUUGCACAAUGGGCGAAAGCCUGAUGCAGCAACGCCGCGUGAACGAUGAAGUUUUUAGGAAUGUAAAGUUCUGUCGUAUGGGAAGAGAUCUUUCGAAUGUUAAUACCAUUCGUUAAUGACGGUACCAUACAAGAAAGCACCGGCUAACUUCGUG
This 498-nucleotide ribosomal RNA is filed under the name uncultured bacterium. Its description in RNAcentral is "bacterial SSU rRNA". It matches the Rfam family "Bacterial small subunit ribosomal RNA", at positions 28 to 507 of the family's 1533-position model. The record is from RNAcentral.